UACAGAGGUCUCAAGCGUUGUUCGGAUUCAUUGGGCGUAAAGGGUGCGUAGGCGGCUUGUCGCGUCGACUGUGAAAACCCGCGGCUCAACCGCGGGCCUGCAGCCGAUACGGGCAGGCUAGAGUUCGGUAGGGGAGACUGGAAUUCCUGGUGUAGCGGUGAAAUGCGCAGAUAUCAGGAGGAACACCGAUGGCGAAGGCAGGUCGCUGGGACGUAACUGACGCUGAGACGCGAAAGCGUGGGGAGCAAACAGG
RNAcentral lists this ribosomal RNA (253 nucleotides) under uncultured bacterium. RNAcentral describes it as "partial 16S ribosomal RNA". It matches the Rfam family "Bacterial small subunit ribosomal RNA", at positions 524 to 776 of the family's 1533-position model. The record is from RNAcentral.